AUGUGUGAGUCAUACUAACCCAUUUGCUGUUUUGUAGGUGUCAACCGGUGCGCAUAGCUUGUUUGCUCAAAUAUCCUGCUAGGGGCCACAAAUCCAAACUGAUGGAUCCACUCAACACCGGUAAAGGCAGACAUGUUUGGGAUCGGUUAUCGGCCAGAUCAAGAGUCGUCUAGACCAAACAGAGGACGUCGUCCACCGUACAU
This 203-nucleotide long non-coding RNA is filed under the name Lathyrus oleraceus (garden pea). RNAcentral describes it as "Pisum sativum (pea) long non-coding RNA (PSAT_LNC022078)". Lineage: Eukaryota; Viridiplantae; Streptophyta; Magnoliopsida; Fabales; Fabaceae. The record is from RNAcentral.